GUGGGGAAUAUUGGACAAUGGGCGAAAGCCUGAUCCAGCCAUGCCGCGUGAGUGAUGAAGGCCCUAGGGUUGUAAAGCUCUUUCACCGGUGAAGAUAAUGACGGUAACCGGAGAAGAAGCCCCGGCUAACUUCGUGCCAGCAGCCGCGGUAAUACGAAGGGGGCUAGCGUUGUUCGGAAUUACUGGGCGUAAAGCGCACGUAGGCGGAUUGUUAAGUGAGGGGUGAAAUCCCAGGGCUCAACCCUGGAACUGCCUUUCAUACUGGCAAUCUCGAGUCCGAGAGAGGUGAGUGGAAUUCCGAGUGUAGAGGUGAAAUUCGUAGAUAUUCGGAGGAACACCAGUGGCGAAGGCGGCUCACUGGCUCGGUACUGACGCUGAGGUGCGAAAGCGUGGGGAGCAAACAGGAUUAGAAACCCGGGUAGUCC
RNAcentral lists this ribosomal RNA (425 nucleotides) under uncultured bacterium. RNAcentral's name for it is "partial 16S ribosomal RNA". It matches the Rfam family "Bacterial small subunit ribosomal RNA", at positions 354 to 796 of the family's 1533-position model. The record is from RNAcentral.